AACUUUUGGCAAUGGAUCACUUGGCUCUCGCAUCGAUGAAGAACGCAGCGAAAUGCGAUAAGUAAUGUGAAUUGCAUACCUCUGCGAGUCAUCUAGUCUUUGAACGCAAAUGGCACUGUCACGACGAGUGACAGUAUGUCUGUUUGAGAACCACAAAAACACUCACCACUUUAUUAGUGUGUAGACUUGUCCUUUUUACUAUUAUAUGUAAUGGGAUUAAAUGAAUGAUGCUGCGUAGAUUACACAGAAUAUGUGAUAAUAUCUUCAUAUUCAGAGUGAUCUUUUAUACGUGCAUGUAUUAUUUGCAUACUGUACAGUAUGCAUACUAUUAAAAACAUGGUCUCAAAUUAGACAAGGUUACCCGCUGAACUUAAGCAUAUCAAUAAGCGGAGGCU
This 395-nucleotide unclassified non-coding RNA is filed under the name uncultured Basidiomycota. RNAcentral describes it as "sequence contains ITS2". The stretch from base 1 to 153 matches the Rfam family "5.8S ribosomal RNA". Lineage: Eukaryota; Fungi; Basidiomycota. The record is from RNAcentral.